This 466-nucleotide ribosomal RNA is filed under the name uncultured bacterium. RNAcentral describes it as "partial 16S ribosomal RNA". It matches the Rfam family "Bacterial small subunit ribosomal RNA", at positions 28 to 507 of the family's 1533-position model. The record is from RNAcentral.
GAUGAACGCUGGCGGCGUGCUUAACACAUGCAAGUCGAACGAUGAAGCUCAGCUUGCUGGGUGGAUUAGUGGCGAACGGGUGAGUAACACGUGAGUAACCUGCCCUUAACUCUGGGAUAAGCCUGGGAAACUAGGUCUAAUACCGGAUAGGAGCGCCUACCGCAUGGUGGGUGUUGGAAAAAUUUAUCGGUUUUGGAUGGACUCGCGGCCUAUCAGCUUGUUGGUGAGGUAAUGGCUCACCAAGGCGACGACGGGUAGCCGGCCUGAGAGGGUGACCGGCCACACUGGGACUGAGACACGGCCCAGACUCCUACGGGAGGCAGCAGUGGGGAAUAUUGCACAAUGGGCGAAAGCCUGAUGCAGCGACGCCGCGUGAGGGAUGACGGCCUUCGGGUUGUAAACCUCUUUCAGUAGGGAAGAAGCGAAAGUGACGGUACCUGCAGAAGAAGCACCGGCUAACUACGUA